RNAcentral lists this ribosomal RNA (253 nucleotides) under uncultured bacterium. RNAcentral's name for it is "partial 16S ribosomal RNA". It matches the Rfam family "Bacterial small subunit ribosomal RNA", at positions 524 to 776 of the family's 1533-position model. The record is from RNAcentral.
UACAGAGGGUGCGAGCGUUAAUCGGAAUUACUGGGCGUAAAGCGCGCGUAGGCGGCUUUGCAAGUCGGAUGUGAAAUCCCCGGGCUCAACCUGGGAACUGCAUUCGAGACUGCAUUGCUUGAGUAUGGGAGAGGGAGGCGGAAUUUCAGGUGUAGCGGUGAAAUGCGUAGAUAUCUGAAGGAACAUCAGUGGCGAAAGCGGCCUCCUGGACCAAUACUGACGCUCAUGUGCGAAAGCGUGGGGAGCAAACAGG